UACAGAGGGUGCAAGCGUUGUUCGGAAUUAUUGGGCGUAAAGCGCGUGUAGGCGGCUUUGCAAGUCGGGUGUGAAAGCCCUCAGCUCAACUGAGGAAGUGCGCCCGAAACUGCAGAGCUUGAGUACCGGAGAGGAUGGCGGAAUUCCCCAAGUAGAGGUGAAAUUCGUAGAUAUGGGGAGGAACACCGGUGGCGAAGGCGGCCAUCUGGACGGAUACUGACGCUGAGACGCGAAAGCGUGGGGAGCAAACAGG
RNAcentral lists this ribosomal RNA (253 nucleotides) under uncultured bacterium. RNAcentral's name for it is "partial 16S ribosomal RNA". It matches the Rfam family "Bacterial small subunit ribosomal RNA", at positions 524 to 776 of the family's 1533-position model. The record is from RNAcentral.